RNAcentral lists this unclassified non-coding RNA (706 nucleotides) under Hevea brasiliensis (rubber tree). Lineage: Eukaryota; Viridiplantae; Streptophyta; Magnoliopsida; Malpighiales; Euphorbiaceae. The record is from RNAcentral.
AAGGGGAGAGGAGAGAGAUUAGGUUGUUUUGAUUGAAAAAGAAGGGCAUAAGUCCACUUAAUUAUAUAGUUUAAGCAGCAUAGAACUCGUUUGCAAAUUCUAUCAAAAUUUAUAUAAUUUGCUAAAAACAUCUUGAAUCCCACGAAAUUUUAACUAUGGAAUUUCAAAACAAUUCCUUUUGGGUUUCAAAAAUGAUAGUUACAGAAUUGCAAAUAAAUUCCAAAAAUUUUGCAUAAUUCUUUUGUUACAAAAAGGAGGUUAAUCUUUGUUAAUACAAUUUGAAUGAAAACUAAAAAUCAAAUCUUUGGAUGUCAAGUUCUCUAUCCAAAUGUAAUCUAAAUGAUUUUGCAUGCAAUUUUACUUAUGUUGAUUCUUACAAACCAAAUAAAAAGAGUGAAAUUAAUUUCCAAAAUUAACAUGAAGCAAAAUUUCCAAAAUUAAUUUCUAGAUUUCAGUAUUGACUUGACUUGUGUCUACCUUUUGCUGCAGUAACAAUAGUAGGGCAAAACUCAAAAGUUGUUGUUGACGGAAUAUGUUGACCAAAGAGAAGCUUUGCUAAAUCUACCCAAUAUCAUUUGAGCAAUGUUUUGGAUCUUUUACAUCAUAUUUACAAAAAUAUUACUCGGAUUUGAUCAAGUGGUAAGAACACAACAAGAUACAUGAUUGUCAGAACAGAUUGUAGAUACCUUUUGAUUGAAACUCUUUA